GUGGGGAAUAUUGGACAAUGGGGGAAACCCUGAUCCAGCCAUGCCGCGUGAAUGAUGAAGGCCUUCGGGUUGUAAAGUUCUUUUGGAGGGGACGAUGAUGACGGUACCCUCAGAAUAAGCUCCGGCUAACUUCGUGCCAGCAGCCGCGGUAAUACGAAGGGAGCUAGCGUUGUUCGGAAUUACUGGGCGUAAAGGGCGCGUAGGCGGUUUGGUCAGUCAGAUGUGAAAGCCCAGGGCUUAACCCUGGAACUGCGUUUGAUACUGCCAAGCUUGAAUUCGGGAGAGGUGAGUGGAAUUCCCAGUGUAGAGGUGAAAUUCGUAGAUAUUGGGAAGAACACCAGUGGCGAAGGCGGCUCACUGGACCGACAUUGACGCUGAGGCGCGAAAGCGUGGGGAGCAAACAGGAUUAGAAACCCCUGUAGUCC
RNAcentral lists this ribosomal RNA (425 nucleotides) under uncultured bacterium. RNAcentral describes it as "partial 16S ribosomal RNA". It matches the Rfam family "Bacterial small subunit ribosomal RNA", at positions 354 to 796 of the family's 1533-position model. The record is from RNAcentral.